AGCAGCCGCGGUAAUUCCAGCUCCAAUAGCGUAUAUUAAAGUUGUUGCAGUUAAAAAGCUCGUAGUUGAAUUUCGGGGUUAGCAGGUCGGUCGUGCCAUCGGUAUGAACUGGUCUCGCUGAUCCCUCCCUCUUGACGAACUGUGAUGCCAUUAAUUUGGUGUCGCAGGGAAUCAGGACUGUUACUUUGAAAAAUUAGAGUGUUUAAAGCAGGCUCACGCUUGAAUACAUUAGCAUGGAAUAAUGAAAUAGGGCGUUUGAUCCUAUUUUGUUGGUUUCUAGGAUUGACGUAAUGAUUAAUAGGGAUAGUUGGGGGCAUUAGUAUUCAAUUGUCAGAGGUGAAAUUCUUGGAUUUAUUGAAGACUAACUACUGCGAAAGCAUUUG
This 383-nucleotide ribosomal RNA is filed under the name uncultured Glomeromycotina. Its description in RNAcentral is "SSU rRNA". It matches the Rfam family "Eukaryotic small subunit ribosomal RNA", at positions 569 to 957 of the family's 1831-position model. The record is from RNAcentral. Lineage: Eukaryota; Fungi; Glomeromycota.